Molecule: long non-coding RNA, 1832 nt
Organism: Cucumis melo (muskmelon)
Lineage: Eukaryota; Viridiplantae; Streptophyta; Magnoliopsida; Cucurbitales; Cucurbitaceae
Exons: 10
Source: RefSeq, a predicted model, not a curated record
CUAUCUCUUUCAAGGUGGUUGAGAUAUAUAGAAUUUUUCUGCACUGCUCUCUCUGUUAAAGAAAAAAAAAAAAGAAUUUUCUCAAAACUUUUCCUUCACCAAAUUACAGAAGUCCACGAUACGUUGAUUCUCAUCUUGAAGAUGGGAAAGAUUUCGUGGUGGAGAAAUCAACGACUUCGGAGAGAUUCUACAAGUUUUUUUUCCAGUUUUCUUCCUUAUAAGCAUGCUUAAGCUUUAGUUUUAGUUUUGCUUUUGUUUGAAUUGGUUGGUUUUAUAAAUUGAAUUCCAUUUGUAUAGCUACACAUGGCUUUGGGAACUCCAUUUAUUCAGCUUCCUCAAUUGCUUCCAUUACAACCCUUUGAGCUUCUUGAACCUUCACACCCACUUUUCACUUCAGGUGUCAAAUGGAAAUGUCAAUUCAUUAAAUUGACCAAAGUUACCAAACAUUUGAUAGAGGAAGUAUGAAGCAAAGAGCAAAAACUUAGAUGUAGGGGAAUGCAUAACACUCCUCAACAAGUGGAAAUCAAUUUUAAUUGAGGAGGAACAACAAUACAAAGACUUGAACACAGAACUUCCCUAGACCACCUACUCCAAGAGUCUCAAUGGCUUUUGCGAACAAUAUGUCAUCAGUCGUAGACAAGGAACAGAUAUUUGGUAUGACAGAAAAGGAGAUGGAAGAUCGAGUUGAAUUGUUCAACAAAUCGAUCGAGGAACUCAAACCUCUUAACCUCUUUGUUGAAGGUGUAUGUCGAAACCAAUCCAACUCUGUUCGGGUUGACAUGAGUGUGGACUGUCUUCAAAGAGUUAAAGCAUUUUCCCUUGCAUUCCAAAUUAAAGUUAUUUCAUACACACAAUGAUUGAAACUCUUGGAUUGAUCAGUUGGCUGGCCUAUUAUCGUGAAUUGACGUUUCAUGAUGUGAGAGUACUAAUAAGAGAUGUAUUUGGAGUUUUGAUAGGAUAUUUGAGAAAGGUGUAAAUGGUAAUUAAAUAAGGAUGACUUAGAAUAAAUAGAGUUAGAGAUCUUAUAGCGAAGGGAACUACUUUGGAGAUUGAUUAGGUGUGGUACUUUGAAUGAGAGACGGCUCUCCUCAAAGGUAACCAAUAUAGUCGGCCAGCUACUCGGGUCUGGUAGAACUCCAAUGUGAGUUGAUUCGUGAUCUGAAUAAUUAUGGGAGGUUAGGUUGAAUCGAUCUUUCUUUACUAUGACUCUCAUGGGACCAAUAGCUUUUAGGAACCCUUCUUCACCUACAAUGACUUUCAUCCAUCAUAUUCCACCAAAAAGCUUCAAGUGGUGGCGUGGCAAUAGUUUUAUCAAAUGAUGACCCACUCCAAUGAUUUGAGGCGUUGACACCAAGGAGAUAAAAUUGAAGAUGGAGCUAGAAUAGAUGAAUGUAUAGAGUAAUCAAAAUAAAACUAACCCUAUCAAAUGGAAGAGAAAAGGACGAAAAUGCCUUCAAGGAUUAGACGUCGUGCAACGCUAUGCCGCCACCGAAGGAAGAAGGCAACAAAAGAAGACGAUGUUGCUACACACUAUCCUAUCAUUGUGACGCCAUUAUCAUGUGAAAGGGCCACACAACGUUGCAUGGUUUCACGUUACCAUGCGGAUCAAAUGUCAUAUCUACAUUACUUUUCUCCUUCUCUCUCCUUUCCUCUAUUUUUGGUUAAUUGCUCUCGAAUGCUUUGGAAUAUUGUAUCAUCAACUUUCAACCUCAAUUGUUGCUAAGGUUACAAGUUUGCUAAGCUUAAGAAUAGGAAGAAAUCCAUUGCUUUUUUUCUUAUUGUCAGGAUAUUUGGUUCCCUAAUUCAAAUUUCAUAUUGAAUGUUCAUGGUUA